Molecule: non-coding RNA, 131 nt
Filed under: Treponema primitia
Lineage: Bacteria; Pseudomonadati; Spirochaetota; Spirochaetia; Treponematales; Treponemataceae
Source: RNAcentral
ACAGAAUAUCCGGAGUAUGGUAAUUCCCGCACAGGGAUAUCGGAAUACGGUGAGAAUCCGUAGCGGUCCCGCCAUCGUAACCGGACUAACGAGCCGGAAGCCGGGAGACGGUCCUUGUGCUUAUUACCUGA